UGGGGAAUUUUCCGCAAUGGGCGAAAGCCUGACGGAGCAAUGCCGCGUGGAGGUGGAAGGCCUACGGGUCGUCAACUUCUUUUCUCGGAGAGAAACAAUGACGGUAUCUGAGGAAUAAGCAUCGGCUAACUCUGUGCCAG
Molecule: ribosomal RNA, 140 nt
Filed under: uncultured bacterium
Lineage: Bacteria
Description: partial 16S rRNA
Rfam family: Bacterial small subunit ribosomal RNA
Source: RNAcentral